Nicotiana tabacum (common tobacco) is the source of this 296-nucleotide non-coding RNA. The record is from RefSeq and is a predicted model, not a curated record. Lineage: Eukaryota; Viridiplantae; Streptophyta; Magnoliopsida; Solanales; Solanaceae.
CAUACAAUAUGAAAUCUCUGCUCUUUUCUCCAUACAUUCUGAAAUUUCUUAUCGUUUGGGUUAGAAAUUUUCCUUCGCAUAUUCACACAGAACUUUCCCUUUGCUAUUUUUUAAGGAAAUCCUCCAGCCGUCCAAAGCACAUACAUGUACAAAAGUUCAUUUAUCCAGUAGAGGAUGGAUUCCUCCAGAAGAUUUUGGAGUUGGUCCCAGUAGCGUACCAUAGACGUGCUCAGAUUCAGCUAUUCAGAAGAGACUUGAGAUGGAGAGAACACGUAAUACAUCUACCGACGGACAGG